CCAGUUUUGAAAAAAAAACAACAGAAGAGACAAUAUCAGGUUACAGGGUUCAGGGAAUAUAGGCACAAACAAGGGAAAGGGGAAUGGGGACAAGUAAUUUCAAUGUGAGAACACAAUUACACAUACACAGACAUCAAAGAGAAGCUCUUCAGAACUUAACUAAUUAGGCAGGUUUCAACCAAAAAGAUCAGGACUACAUGCUGAUAAUUGUACUG
RNAcentral lists this long non-coding RNA (215 nucleotides) under Nicotiana benthamiana. RNAcentral's name for it is "long non-coding RNA (NBEN_LNC006701)". The record is from RNAcentral. Lineage: Eukaryota; Viridiplantae; Streptophyta; Magnoliopsida; Solanales; Solanaceae.